AGACGUAGGGGGCAAGCGUUACCCGGAAUUACUGGGCGUAAAGGGGGCGUAGGCGGUAAAAGAAGUCAUCUGUGAAAACCUAUUGCUCAACGAUAGGCUAGCGGAUGAAACUGAAUUACUUGAGGGCACCAGAGGUAGACGGAAUUACCCGAGUAGGGGUGAAAUCCGCAGAUACGGGUAGGAACGCCGGUGGAGAAGUCGGUCUACUGGGGUGCACCAGACGCUGAGGCCCGAAAGCUAGGGGAGCAAACCGGAUUAGAUACCCGGGUAGUCCUAGUCGUAAACGAUGCUCACUAGGUGUAGGGAGUGAUAAACUCUCUGUGCUGAAGCGAACGCGCUAAGUGAGCCGCCUGGGGAGUACGUCCGCAAGGAUGAAACUCAAAUGAAUUGACGGGG
RNAcentral lists this ribosomal RNA (396 nucleotides) under uncultured bacterium. RNAcentral's name for it is "partial 16S ribosomal RNA". It matches the Rfam family "Bacterial small subunit ribosomal RNA", at positions 523 to 918 of the family's 1533-position model. The record is from RNAcentral.